RNAcentral lists this transfer RNA (64 nucleotides) under Acidovorax sp. HMWF029. RNAcentral's name for it is "tRNA-OTHER". It matches the Rfam family "tRNA". Rfam says of the family: Transfer RNA (tRNA) molecules are approximately 80 nucleotides in length. Their secondary structure includes four short double-helical elements and three loops (D, anti-codon, and T loops). Further hydrogen bonds mediate the characteristic L-shaped molecular structure. tRNAs have two regions of fundamental functional importance: the anti-codon, which is responsible for specific mRNA codon recognition, and the 3' end, to which the tRNAs corresponding amino acid is attached (by aminoacyl-tRNA synthetases). tRNAs cope with the degeneracy of the genetic code in two manners: having more than one tRNA (with a specific anti-codon) for a particular amino acid; and 'wobble' base-pairing, i.e. permitting non-standard base-pairing at the 3rd anti-codon position. Lineage: Bacteria; Pseudomonadati; Pseudomonadota; Betaproteobacteria; Burkholderiales; Comamonadaceae. The record is from RNAcentral.
GGUAGCUCAGUCUGGAAGAGCAACCCCGCAAGGGGUCUGUCGCGGGUUCGAUUCCCGUCCACCC